This is a long non-coding RNA of Corapipo altera (White-ruffed manakin), 387 nucleotides long. RefSeq lists it as uncharacterized. The transcript is spliced from 3 exons. The record is from RefSeq and is a predicted model, not a curated record. Lineage: Eukaryota; Metazoa; Chordata; Aves; Passeriformes; Pipridae.
CAUUGCAAGAUAGAUACAUCUCCCCUUGAAACACAAUGGUAGAGGUCAUACAGAGGGGUGAGAAAGAUGAUGAUGGGAGGAAGAUGAUGUGGGCAGGGGUCGCUCGCCCCUUGCCCCACAAGUAGGGCAUGUGCAGACUGUUGCCAUUAGGUAAUGAUCAGGCGGUGUUUGGCUGCCACUCAGGCAUCACCUUAUACUGCGUACUGGCCCUACGUGGUGUAAUGUGGAACUGAUAAAAUGGGGUGUCGGGACUGCUGAGUAGAGCGAUCCUCAUCCUGCCACCGAGACUGUGUUGCUCCGCGGGGACGCCCGCUAAGUAUGGGCACCGACCAGCUGCUGCAGAUCCUGACAGCCCUGGCCUGUCUGUGUGGCACUUAAAUAUCAAUA